RNAcentral lists this unclassified non-coding RNA (227 nucleotides) under uncultured Nitrospiraceae bacterium. RNAcentral describes it as "contains 16S-23S intergenic spacer region". It matches the Rfam family "Bacterial small subunit ribosomal RNA", at positions 978 to 1195 of the family's 1533-position model. Lineage: Bacteria; Pseudomonadati; Nitrospirota; Nitrospiria; Nitrospirales; Nitrospiraceae. The record is from RNAcentral.
CAGGUUUGACAUGCUGGUGGUAAGAACCGGAAACGGGGAUGACCUCGCAAGGGGAGCCAGCACAGGUGCUGCAUGGCUGUCGUCAGCUCGUGCCGUGAGGUGUUGGGUUAAGUCCCGCAACGAGCGCAACCCUUGCCUCCAGUUGCCAACGGGUCAUGCCGGGAACUCUGGAGGGACUGCCCAGGAUAACGGGGAGGAAGGUGGGGAUGACGUAUGGAAUGUCGAUA